GAUGAACGCUAGCUACAGGCUUAACACAUGCAAGUCGAGGGGAAACGACAUCGAAAGCUUGCUUUUGAUGGGCGUCGACCGGCGCACGGGUGAGUAACGCGUAUCCAACCUGCCCACCACUUGGGGAUAACCUUGCGAAAGUAAGACUAAUACCCAAUGAUAUCUCUAGAAGACAUCUGAAAGAGAUUAAAGAUUUAUCGGUGAUGGAUGGGGAUGCGUCUGAUUAGCUUGUUGGCGGGGUAACGGCCCACCAAGGCAACGAUCAGUAGGGGUUCUGAGAGGAAGGUCCCCCACAUUGGAACUGAGACACGGUCCAAACUCCUACGGGAGGCAGCAGUGAGGAAUAUUGGCCAAUGGACGAGAGUCUGAACCAGCCAAGUAGCGUGCAGGAAGGCGGCCCUAUGGGUUGUAAACUGCUUUUAGAAGGGAAUAAAGUGAGUCUCGUGAGACUUUUUGCAUGUACCUUAUGAAUAAGGACCGGCUAAUUCCGUG
RNAcentral lists this ribosomal RNA (492 nucleotides) under uncultured bacterium. Its description in RNAcentral is "partial 16S ribosomal RNA". It matches the Rfam family "Bacterial small subunit ribosomal RNA", at positions 28 to 507 of the family's 1533-position model. The record is from RNAcentral.